UACGAAGGGGGCUAGCGUUGCUCGGAAUCACUGGGCGUAAAGCGCACGUAGGCGGAUCCUUAAGUCGGGGUGAAAUCCUGGAGCUCAACUCCAGAACUGCCUUCGAUACUGAGGAUCUCGAGUCCGGGAGAGGUGAGUGGAACUGCGAGUGUAGAGGUGAAAUUCGUAGAUAUUCGCAAGAACACCAGUGGCGAAGGCGGCUCACUGGCCCGGUACUGACGCUGAGGUGCGAAAGCGUGGGGAGCAAACAGG
Molecule: ribosomal RNA, 252 nt
Filed under: uncultured bacterium
Lineage: Bacteria
Description: partial 16S ribosomal RNA
Rfam family: Bacterial small subunit ribosomal RNA
Source: RNAcentral